This 1055-nucleotide ribosomal RNA is filed under the name Tremateia chromolaenae. RNAcentral describes it as "SSU rRNA". It matches the Rfam family "Eukaryotic small subunit ribosomal RNA", at positions 70 to 1132 of the family's 1831-position model. The record is from RNAcentral. Lineage: Eukaryota; Fungi; Ascomycota; Dothideomycetes; Pleosporales; Didymosphaeriaceae.
CAACUAUACUGUGAAACUGCGAAUGGCUCAUUAAAUCAGUUAUCGUUUAUUUGAUCAUAACCUACUACAUGGAAUACCUGUGGAAAAUCUAGAGCUAAUACAUGCUAAAGCCCCAACUUCGGAAGGGGUGUGUUUAUUAGAUAAAAAGCCAAUGCCCUUCGGGGCUCCUUGGUGAUUCAUGAUAACCUUUCUGAUCGCAAAUGGCCUCCGCGCCGGCGACGGUUCAUUCAAAUUUCUGCCCUAUCAACUUUCGAUGGUACGGUAGUGGCCUACCAUGGUGUCAACGGGUAACGGGGAAUUAGGGUUCGAUUCCGGAGAGGGAGCCUGAGAAACGGCUACCACAUCCAAGGAAGGCAGCAGGCGCGCAAAUUACACAAUGUCGACUCGACGAUGUAGUGACAAUAAAUACUGAUACAGGGCUCUUUUGGGUCUUGUAAUUGGAAUGAGUACAAUUUAAACCUCUUAACGAGGAACAAUUAGAGGGCAAGUCUGGUGCCAGCAGCCGCGGUAAUUCCAGCUCUAAUAGCGUAUAUUAAAGUUGUUGCAGUUAAAAAGCUCGUAGUUGAACCUUUGGCUUGGCGAGCACGUCCGCCUCACCGCGUGCACGUGACCCGCCGAGCCUUUUCUUCUGGAGAACCGCAUGCCCUUCACUGGGUGUGUUGGGGACCAGGACUUUUACUUUGAAAAAAUUAGAGUGUUCAAAGCAGGCCUUUGCUCGAAUACGUUAGCAUGGAAUAAUGGAAUAGGACGUGCGGUCCUAUUUUGUUGGUUUCUAGGACCGCCGUAAUGAUUAAUAGGGACAGUCGGGGGCAUCAGUAUUCAAUUGUCAGAGGUGAAAUUCUUGGAUUUAUUGAAGACUAACUACUGCGAAAGCAUUUGCCAAGGAUGUUUUCAUUAAUCAGUGAACGAAAGUUAGGGGAUCGAAGACGAUCAGAUACCGUCGUAGUCUUAACCAUAAACUAUGCCAGCUGGGGAUCGGACGGUGUUUCUAUUGUGACCCGUUCGGCACCCUACGAGAAAUCAAAGCGUUUGGGUUCUGGGGGGAGUAUGGUCGC